AUACAUUUUGAUUAAAAGUGAAACAAAAAAUCAAGUGUAGUAUCUGUUCUUAUCAGUUUAUUAUUUGAUACGUCCCCUAUCUGGGGACCAUAUAUUAAAAGGAUUUUUAGAACAUGGAGAUGAAAGAAGAGCUUGCUCUGUCCACUCCACGCAUCGACCUGGUAUUGCAGUACCUCCAGGACCGCUGCACAAAAA
Rana temporaria (common frog) is the source of this 195-nucleotide small nuclear RNA. RefSeq annotates it as U2 spliceosomal RNA. The transcript has a single exon. The record is from RefSeq and is a predicted model, not a curated record. NCBI's taxonomy places the organism in Eukaryota, Metazoa, Chordata, Amphibia, Anura, Ranidae.